GGAACUGUAGUUCAGUGGUAGAGCACUUGCCUAGCAUGCAUGAAGCCCUGAAUUCAAUUCCAAGCACUGCCA
RNAcentral lists this transfer RNA (72 nucleotides) under Heterocephalus glaber (naked mole-rat). It matches the Rfam family "tRNA". From Rfam's summary of the family: Transfer RNA (tRNA) molecules are approximately 80 nucleotides in length. Their secondary structure includes four short double-helical elements and three loops (D, anti-codon, and T loops). Further hydrogen bonds mediate the characteristic L-shaped molecular structure. tRNAs have two regions of fundamental functional importance: the anti-codon, which is responsible for specific mRNA codon recognition, and the 3' end, to which the tRNAs corresponding amino acid is attached (by aminoacyl-tRNA synthetases). tRNAs cope with the degeneracy of the genetic code in two manners: having more than one tRNA (with a specific anti-codon) for a particular amino acid; and 'wobble' base-pairing, i.e. permitting non-standard base-pairing at the 3rd anti-codon position. The record is from Rfam by way of RNAcentral. Lineage: Eukaryota; Metazoa; Chordata; Mammalia; Rodentia; Bathyergidae.